This 468-nucleotide ribosomal RNA is filed under the name uncultured bacterium. Its description in RNAcentral is "partial 16S ribosomal RNA". It matches the Rfam family "Bacterial small subunit ribosomal RNA", at positions 28 to 507 of the family's 1533-position model. The record is from RNAcentral.
GACGAAUGCUGGCGGCGUGCUUAACACAUGCAAGUCGAACGGAAAGGCCCUGCUUUUGUGGGGUGCUCGAGUGGCGAACGGGUGAGUAACACGUGAGUAACCUGCCCUUGACUUUGGGAUAACUUCAGGAAACUGGGGCUAAUACCGGAUAGGAGCUCCUGCUGCAUGGUGGGGGUUGGAAAGUUUCGGCGGUUGGGGAUGGACUCGCGGCUUAUCAGCUUGUUGGUGGGGUAGUGGCUUACCAAGGCUUUGACGGGUAGCCGGCCUGAGAGGGUGACCGGCCACAUUGGGACUGAGAUACGGCCCAGACUCCUACGGGAGGCAGCAGUGGCGAAUAUUGCACAAUGGGCGGAAGCCUGAUGCAGCAACGCCGCGUGCGGGAUGACGGCCUUCGGGUUGUAAACCGCUUUCGCCUGUGACGAAGCGUGAGUGACGGUAAUGGGUAAAGAAGCACCGGCUAACUACGUG